CACGUAGGCACCAAGCGUUGUCCGGAUUUAUUGGGCGUAAAGAGCUCGUAGGCGGUUCGGUAAGUCGGGUGUGAAAACUUUGGGCUCAACCCAAAGCCUGCACUCGAUACUGCUGUGACUUGAGUCCGGUAGGGGAGUGGGGAAUUCCUGGUGUAGCGGUGGAAUGCGCAGAUAUCGGAAGGAACUCCGGCGGCGAAAGCGAUGCACUGGCUGAUUUCUGACACUGAGGUGCGAAAGCCAGGGGAGCAAACGGG
RNAcentral lists this ribosomal RNA (254 nucleotides) under uncultured bacterium. RNAcentral's name for it is "partial 16S ribosomal RNA". It matches the Rfam family "Bacterial small subunit ribosomal RNA", at positions 524 to 776 of the family's 1533-position model. The record is from RNAcentral.